This 331-nucleotide ribosomal RNA is filed under the name Clostridioides difficile. RNAcentral's name for it is "bacterial SSU rRNA". It matches the Rfam family "Bacterial small subunit ribosomal RNA", at positions 1136 to 1466 of the family's 1533-position model. The record is from RNAcentral. Lineage: Bacteria; Bacillati; Bacillota; Clostridia; Peptostreptococcales; Peptostreptococcaceae.
CACUCUAGAGAGACUGCCAGGGAUAACCUGGAGGAAGGUGGGGAUGACGUCAAAUCAUCAUGCCCCUUAUGCUUAGGGCUACACACGUGCUACAAUGGGUAGUACAGAGGGUUGCCAAGCCGUAAGGUGGAGCUAAUCCCUUAAAGCUACUCUCAGUUCGGAUUGUAGGCUGAAACUCGCCUACAUGAAGCUGGAGUUACUAGGAAUCGCAGAUCAGAAUGCUGCGGUGAAUGCGUUCCCGGGUCUUGUACACACCGCCCGUCACACCACGGGAGUUGGAGACGCCCGAAGCCGAUUAUCUAACCUUUUGGAAGAAGUCGUCGAAGGUGGA